CAGCAGCCGCGGUAAUACGUAGGGGGCAAGCGUUAUCCGGAUUUACUGGGUGUAAAGGGAGCGUAGACGGCGACGCAAGUCUGAAGUGAAAUACCCGGGCUCAACCUGGGAACUGCUUUGGAAACUGUGUUGCUAGAGUGCUGGAGAGGUAAGCGGAAUUCCUAGUGUAGCGGUGAAAUGCGUAGAUAUUAGGAGGAACACCAGUGGCGAAGGCGGCUUACUGGACUGUAACUGACGUUGAGGCUCGAAAGUGUGGGUAUCAAACAGGAUUAGAUACCCUGGUAGUCCACACAGUAAACGAUGAAUACUCGCUGUUUGCGAUAUACAGUAAGCGGCCAAGCGAAAGCGUUAAGUAUUCCACCUGGGGAGU
This 370-nucleotide ribosomal RNA is filed under the name uncultured bacterium. Its description in RNAcentral is "bacterial SSU rRNA". It matches the Rfam family "Bacterial small subunit ribosomal RNA", at positions 509 to 881 of the family's 1533-position model. The record is from RNAcentral.